GACGAACGACUGGCGGCGCGCUUAACAACAUGCAAGUCGAGCGAUAACCAUGCUUCGGCCAUGGGGGACAGCGGCGAACGGGUGAGUAACACGUGGGGCAAUACUUGCCCUCGGCACUGGGAUAGCCCGGGGAAACCCGGAUUAAUACCGGAUAGCCUCUCGAGCUCUCGGGCUCGUGAGAAAAGAUAGCUUCGGCUUUCGGCUGAGGAGGAGCCUGCGGCGGAUUAGCUUGUUGGCGGGGUAACGGCCCACCAAGGCGACGAUCCGUAGCUGGUCUGA
This 279-nucleotide ribosomal RNA is filed under the name uncultured bacterium. RNAcentral's name for it is "partial 16S ribosomal RNA". It matches the Rfam family "Bacterial small subunit ribosomal RNA", at positions 36 to 295 of the family's 1533-position model. The record is from RNAcentral.